This 496-nucleotide ribosomal RNA is filed under the name uncultured bacterium. RNAcentral describes it as "partial 16S ribosomal RNA". It matches the Rfam family "Bacterial small subunit ribosomal RNA", at positions 28 to 507 of the family's 1533-position model. The record is from RNAcentral.
GAUGAACGCUGGCGGCGUGCCUAAUACAUGCAAGUCGAGCGAACAGAUAAGGAGCUUGCUCCUUUGACGUUAGCGGCGGACGGGUGAGUAACACGUGGGUAACCUACCUAUAAGACUGGAAUAACUCCGGGAAACCGGGGCUAAUGCCGGAUAACAUUUAGAACCGCAUGGUUCUAAAGUGAAAGAUGGUUUUGCUAUCACUUAUAGAUGGACCCGCGCCGUAUUAGCUAGUUGGUAAGGUAACGGCUUACCAAGGCAACGAUACGUAGCCGCCCUGAGAGGGGGAUCGGCCAAUGGGGAACUGGGACGAGGACCAACACCCGAGGGGAGGCAAGGGGGGGAAUUCUGCGGGAGUGGGCAGAAGCCAAGAGGGGAAAAGGGGCGAGAGUGAGAAAGAGCUGCGGCGCGUAAAACUUGUUUUUUGGGGAAGAACAAAGUUGUAAUAAACGGGACGAUAUUGACGGGACCCGAAGAAGAAGCCCCGGCCAAACCAGGG